Molecule: long non-coding RNA, 1655 nt
Filed under: Pan troglodytes (chimpanzee)
Lineage: Eukaryota; Metazoa; Chordata; Mammalia; Primates; Hominidae
Description: long non-coding RNA NONPTRT001447
Source: RNAcentral
GAGUGACAUCUGAGAUUCAUCUUCUGUACCCGUGAACCUGACUCCCAGGACAACCCUUAGGAGGUUUGGACUUUUGACAUUAGUGAGUUAAUUCUUAACCAGAUUCUGAAGAAUUUCCGGGCCAAACAGGCUUGAAUGUACGGUUUUUCCAAUUUGGGGGAUGGGAGUGGGGAAGCUCUUCCUGGGACAGACUCCCAGGCAAGGAAAGGCCCCAGCAGCUCUGUCCCCUACCCUGGGCUCUGCCUCCGUCUCCCCACAAGAAACUUGUGGGCUGCCUGGGGCUCGUCAGCAGCCUGCACAGGCUCUCACUCUCUUUCCCACUCACUAUGCUUGGCUUUUUCUUCCACUUAUGACUAUCUCUCCCUUUCUCCAACACCCAGUGUUGUGGGGCAAGCUGUAAUUAUCUCACGUGUGUGAAAAUGUGCCCUAACCACUUUCAUCAUCUGAGCUAAAACCAGAUCACUUGUUUCACUUUUCCUCACAAAUAUUAACAAUGCAGGAAUUGGGUCCCAGUGAAUCUUCGACAUGAAGUUGAAGCUUCAGGAAGUGAAGCAGAGUCUAGCUCCGCAGCUUCAACCUUCUCCUCUACCCCUUCCUUUUUUCUGUCUGUCUUGGUAGGGCUUGAUUAGAGAAGCAUGAGUGUUGAGGCCUCCUUUGUGUGCCUUGGGACAACAGGUAGGUGCUGUCACUGAUCCUGCAGACUGUUCAGCAACAGCCCCUUUGGAUUUCUGGAUAUUCUGGAAACAAAGUCAGAACAGUGGCCUAUUGGGGGGUUGGCAGAGGGGUAUGACUAGUCCCUUAGCCAACUUGUCCCAGCCACCCGGCCUGCAUCUGAACUUGCCCUUCUUCCUCCUUCUCGCCAGCUUAACAGUCAUGCAGGGAUGGGGUAAAAUGACAAGCUUUUAUCUACUUUAAACAGUCAUGCCACACUGCCAACACAGUUUUCAAAGCAUCAAGAUAUCUUUUCUUCCUUUCUUCUUCUCAAGCCUGUAAUUAAACUCCUGGUGACAGAGUGGUAGAGGAAGGAGAUCGGGGAGCAUGACUUGAGGAAUAAACAGCUCCUUAGCUGCCCUCAGAACCGAGGCAGCCAAGGAAUGUGAGCGCCUGUCAGCCUACGACCUUUCAGGAGAAUACAGCAAAUCAUCUGACUCCAGUAACAUCCUCUUCCUCCCCCAAGAUCACUGUUCUGCUGCACACCCACACUGCUUGCAUCUGUUGAGUGUUGGCUUCCGCCCCAGUGCCUGCCACCUUCACGUGAAGGCUCUGGCUUUAGCACGCUAGCUCCACUCCCAAACCUAACCUCCGCCGAAUUCUCUGCAGGAUUGACCACUGGGUCCACGUGUGACUGAGAGAUGUGAGAAGCUCAGCAGAUGGGCAGGGAUGACUCAUUCAUCAUACUAAUGUGAUUCAACAAAGAAAGGCAUGUUUUCUCUUCCAAAUAUGCCGUGUGUUCAAGUCUGAGAUGCUCCAGGAUUCACAAAGUUCCCACAGCAGGGGCUCCCGUUCACUCUGGGGGCACCUGCCACAGCAGCUCCCAUUAGCGCACGAAGGAUACCACGCUGGUGGCUACCGCAAACGGGGCGGAGUAGAAUGCAGCGAAGCCUUGCAGGCCGAUGACCACAUAGCGGCAUCCUUUGAUGAUGACCUUCCCAACA